RNAcentral lists this ribosomal RNA (488 nucleotides) under Colletotrichum gloeosporioides. Its description in RNAcentral is "eukaryotic LSU rRNA". The stretch from base 149 to 302 matches the Rfam family "5.8S ribosomal RNA". Lineage: Eukaryota; Fungi; Ascomycota; Sordariomycetes; Glomerellales; Glomerellaceae. The record is from RNAcentral.
UGUGAACAUACCUAUAACUGUUGCUUCGGCGGGUAGGGUCUCCGCGACCCUCCCGGCCUCCCGCCUCCGGGCGGGUCGGCGCCCGCCGGAGGAUAACCAAACUCUGAUUUAACGACGUUUCUUCUGAGUGGUACAAGCAAAUAAUCAAAACUUUUAACAACGGAUCUCUUGGUUCUGGCAUCGAUGAAGAACGCAGCGAAAUGCGAUAAGUAAUGUGAAUUGCAGAAUUCAGUGAAUCAUCGAAUCUUUGAACGCACAUUGCGCCCGCCAGCAUUCUGGCGGGCAUGCCUGUUCGAGCGUCAUUUCAACCCUCAAGCUCUGCUUGGUGUUGGGGCCCUACAGCUGAUGUAGGCCCUCAAAGGUAGUGGCGGACCCUCCCGGAGCCUCCUUUGCGUAGUAACUUUACGUCUCGCACUGGGAUCCGGAGGGACUCUUGCCGUAAAACCCCCAAUUUUCCAAAGGUUGACCUCGGAUCAGGUAGGAAUACC